This 488-nucleotide ribosomal RNA is filed under the name uncultured bacterium. RNAcentral describes it as "partial 16S ribosomal RNA". It matches the Rfam family "Bacterial small subunit ribosomal RNA", at positions 30 to 507 of the family's 1533-position model. The record is from RNAcentral.
AUUGAACGCUGGCGGCAGGCCUAACACAUGCAAGUCGAACGGUAGCACAGAGAGCUUGCUCUCGGGUGACGAGUGGCGGGCGGGUGAGUAAUGUCUGCGACACUGCCCGAUGGAGGGGGGUAACUACUGGAAACGGUAGCUAAUACAGCAUACUGUCGCAAGACCAAAGAGGGGGACCUUCCGUCCUCUUGCGAUCGGAUGUGCCCAGAUGGGAUUAGCUAGUUGGUGAGGUAAUGGCUCACCAAGGCGACGAUCCCUAGCUGGUCUGAGAGGAUGACCAGCCACACUGGAACUGAGACACGGUCCAGACUCCUACGGGAGGCAGCAGUGGGGAAUAUUGCACAAUGGGCGCAAGCCUGAUGCAGCCAUGCCGCGUGUAUGAAGAAGGCCUUCGGGUUGUAAAGUACUUUCAGCGGGGAGGAAGGCAAUGCGGUUAAUAACCGUGUUGAUUGACGUUACCCGCAGAAGAAGCACCGGCUAACUCCGUG